CCUACAACCCGGUGAAGCCACAUAAGGUGGACGAACAGUCCAUCAUCUUCCAUCGGGGAGAGAAGACCCCGUGGAGUUUUACUGCAGCUUGUGCUUGUAGUAUAGUACGAAUUACAUAGUGUAUCUGGUAGCCAUGCCUGAAUUUCUUUGGGAAUUCAGUGAAGCAACGAUGUAACACCAGAUUAUUCUUGCAGUACUUCUUAUCUGGUGCAGACCAGAAACAGGUGCAGGUGGGCAGUUCGGCUGGGGCGGCACCCCUCAGAAAAGAUAUCUGAGGGGCCCAAAGUUUAGUUCAAACGGGUCAGAAAUCCGUUUAAGAGGGCAAAGCCAAAAACUAGACUGACAGGAUUUCCAAACGCACGGAAUUCUGAGACGAAAGUCUGGCUUAGCGAUCCUUCGUGUGCCCACUAUUGGGGCCCGGAGGUGACAGAAAAAUUACCCCAGGGAUAACAGGCUCGUCGCGGGCGAGAGCUCCUAUCGACCCCGCGGUUUGGUACCUCGAUGUCGGCUUUUCCUAUCCUGGUCCUGCAGCAGGGGCCAAGGGUGAGGCUGCUCGCCUAUUAAAAGGGAACAUGAGCUGGGUUUAGACCGUCGUGAGACAGGUUAGUUUUACCCUACUGAUGAACUUGAUGCUGCGACAGUAAUCGAAGUUAGUACGAGAGGAACACUUCGUUCAGAUACUUGGUAAAUGUGGCUAGCUGAGAAGCUAAUACUGCGAAGCUACCAUCUGUUGGAUUACGACUGAACGCCUCUAAGUCGGAAUCCUGGCUGACUAAGCAAUGCUGUAUACCGCUUCAACCGUUACGUGAGAAGAAAUAGACAUGUUCUGAUUUCAUCGGUUGGUUAAUAUUCGCCA
This 856-nucleotide ribosomal RNA is filed under the name Fidelibacterota bacterium. RNAcentral describes it as "partial 23S ribosomal RNA". It matches the Rfam family "Archaeal large subunit ribosomal RNA", at positions 2102 to 2987 of the family's 2987-position model. Lineage: Bacteria; Pseudomonadati; Fidelibacterota. The record is from RNAcentral.